GCGAAAGUUUUUCAAUGCUAAAGUUCGCUAUUAUUCCAACACAGAUGCUGAGUUUAAUAUCGAAAAAAAUCCUGGUUCACCUCAUGCAGACUCUCCUUUUAAUAAUCGCUCAUCUAGGAACGCUAUAAACCGCUGUUCAAAUGUUGGGUCUUGCAAUGCCUUCCGCAUUCCAGUCCGUAUAACUAACAGAAUGGGUGCUUAUGAUAACUCCCUCUAUUGUGUGAAAUGUCAAGUCUGUCCAUUGAACUGUGUCAACAUACCAUUGUCUCCGAGCAUCCAUCAAUAUCGAUCUACAACGGCACUUAAACUUUGUACAAUGAAUGUUAGAUCUAUAAAAAACAAAUCUGCGGAUUUCACUGAUUAUGUUUGUUCUUGUAAAGCUGACCUGUUCGCUUUAACUGAAACAUGGCUAACAAAUGAUGACACUGCCCACAAGAGAGAAAUUACACCAGAUGGUUUCAACUUGAUUAGUCAUUCUCGGGUAAAUCGAAUGGGUGGUGGAACGGCGUUGUUGUACAAUCAAUCUUUAAAAGUUCAUAAAGUCGCAGCAGACGUGCGGAGAUCGUUUGAAUAUCUAGAGUCGAUUGUUCCUUGGGGUGCCUUUAAAGCGCGAUUAAUCAUCGUUUAUCGUCCUCCGUACUCGAUGGCUCACCCUACUACACUGUCAAUGUUUGUAUCGGAGUUUGCUGAUUAUUUGGAAUCCAUCAUUUUGUCGCCAGAGUCCCUUAUUAUAACGGGCGAUUUUAAUAUUCAUGUUGAUGACAG
Molecule: non-coding RNA, 765 nt
Organism: Paramuricea clavata
Lineage: Eukaryota; Metazoa; Cnidaria; Anthozoa; Malacalcyonacea; Plexauridae
Source: the annotation of a GenBank genome assembly